UUUAUUUUUUCUUUCUUAAAAAGUCUUGCUAUUUAUAAUUUGGUAGAAUAAUAUAUUUCACCUACGAUGUUAUUUAUCUUAUCGAGUAAAAUGACUUGAAGGCUGAAUAUAAUAUUCAAUUCUAGACAUUUAAUCAAACUUCUCAUUUAACAAAUAUACAAAAUUUUCAAAAUAAAUUAUAAAGAUCUACGGAACAAAAUAUUCAUCCACCGAAUAGGAUCUAAAUGUUCGUGUCGAUCUUUGGUGCAAAAUUUUUUGUUGUUUUUAUUUAAAGCAAAUCUAUCUACAGAAUACACUCUAUCUAUCCAAUGGACAAUAUUUUUAUAUUGAUUUUGUUACAUUAUUAUUAAUAUUAAAUUUUGAAAAAUUAUCUUAAAUUUGUGGACAAAUGAAUAGAAAAUUUAUAUCCUAUUUUUGGGUGUAGGUGUAUAUGAGAGGGUUUAUUUUCAAGGUAGGAUUUGAUCCUCUCUACAUGUAUGAAUAGAAUUUAAUUUCCGAUCUCUCUUAGGUUGAUUUUGGGUAUGUGUAUGUUGCUACAAAGAAAGUUUAUUGGUCGAGCCUUUAGACAAAGUCAAAAACAAAAAAGAGGAAAAUAAAAAAUAAAAACUAUUUUCUCUUUUGAGCAACAACUCCUCAGUACUAAGACAAUCGCAUCUAAAGGAAGCAUGUAGAAAUAUAUCGAACAGCUUUUGCAUGCGAAAACACACUCAAAAAUUAAAAUAAAAAAAAUAAAAAAUAUAUAUAAUGGGUGAUAAUAAUGUAUACACAAUGAAUGCCAAAAACUGCUUACACAAAUGAAUAUGCUCCGUAGAAAAAGUCUAAAAUAUAACAGUCACAUGAAGCAAUGUUAUGUCUCCAACUAAUUAAAUUGCUUUUCUAGGAUUCAUUCGUUCAAUGUUUUAAAAUAUAUUUGUAUCAAAAAUAGUAUGAUUGACUGAAUAUAGAUAAUAUACUGCAACUGCUAAAGUAGACCUCUUUAUGAACCCUAUAUGAGAAGUUGACCCCUUUAUGAACCCUAUAUGAGAAGUUGAUACGUGGCUUUUUAUAUGUUUGUCACGUGUCAAACUCAAAUACAAAUAUAGAUUUUCUAUUACUAUAUACUAAAAUAGAACCCUUUAUGAACCCUAUAUGAGAAGCUGACACGUGGCUUUCUAUAUGCUUGCAACGUGUCAAGAUCAAAUACAAAUAUAGAUUUUCUAAAUAUAUCUAUUACUAUAUACUAAAAUAGAUCCCUUUAUGAACCCUAUGUGAGAAGUUGACACGUGGCUUUCUAUAUGCUUGCCACGUGUUAAGCUCAAAUACAAAUAUAGAUUUUCUAAAUAUGACUAGAUUGACAGUUAUAUCCAAAACAAAUUAUAUUGUAGAUAACUUUAUAAUAAGUAGGCAACAAAGUUUUUUUUUCUUUAUAUUUUCUUGAAGACCAACAUCUAUAUAUUUUUGAGUUUUGAAAAUCUGUAUGUCUAUCAUAUGCAUAUGCUUACUCUAAUUUGUGUCAAAUAUAAAAGUUUAGUUGAUCUUAUUAUAUACCUAAAUAUUAAUGUCAUUUGUAAUUUUACAUAUCAAUUUUAGCUAUCAUUUUGUUUUGCACAUCAAUAUGUAAUGUAAAUUAUUUUGCACGCCAAUUCAUAGAUAAUAGAGCAAGGUUGAAUUUUACUUUUUACUUGAGUAUUUACUUUGGUCCAUAAUUUUUUUUCUCUAGCUUUUAUACUUUAAUAUAUACUAGAAUUAAGAUUAAUAGUAUAUUUUUUAUUUAUUAAAAAAAUAUAAUAUUAAUUAGAAUAUUUUUAUUAUUAUCACAUAAUAACUUUUGUUAUUUUAUAUUAUUAUAUUAUCCGUGUAUCGCACGGGUCAAAUACUAGUAUAUACAUAUUGUGCUAGAUGACUUACGUAAUUGUAAUCUAUUGAUAUUGAUGGUAUCCGAGGUACUUUGAUGAUAAUGCAUCUUAAUUAUUAUAUUCUUAUAUAUGUUGUACAAGCAAAAUAUUCUACACAUGCAGUUGUAGGAAAUUUGCUUUCUCUCUGUGGCGGCUGUAGAUUUGUAGACUAAGAUAAAUAGUUUGAUUGGACAUAUAUUAAGAUCAUGUUUGAAGCCAAAAUAAAUUAUUUACAAUAACUUAUUUAUUAUAAAACUUUUCUAGUGUGAUUAUACAUAGGAUUUAUUUUUUCUUUCUUAAAAAGUCUUGCUAUUUAUAAUUUGGUAGAAUAAUAUAUUUCACCUACGAUGUUAUUUAUCUUAUCGAGAAAAAUGACUUGAAGGUUGAAUAUAAUAUUCAAUUCUAGACAUUUAAUCACACUUCUCAUUUAACAAAUAUACAAAAUUUUCAAAAUAAAUUAUAAAGAUCUACGAAACAAAAUAUUCAUGCACCGAAUAGGAUCUAAAUGUUCGUGUCGAUCUUUGGUGCAAGAUUUUUUGUUGUUUUUAUUUAAAGCAAAUCUAUCUACAGAAUACACUCUAUCUAUCCAAUGGACAAUAUUUUUAUAUUAAUUUUGUUACAUUAUUAUUAAUAUUAAAUUUUGAAAAAAUUAUCUUAAAUU
This 2535-nucleotide long non-coding RNA is filed under the name Ananas comosus (pineapple). RNAcentral describes it as "long non-coding RNA (ACOM_LNC001230)". Lineage: Eukaryota; Viridiplantae; Streptophyta; Magnoliopsida; Poales; Bromeliaceae. The record is from RNAcentral.